This 841-nucleotide ribosomal RNA is filed under the name Streptomyces sp. qm4-1. Its description in RNAcentral is "bacterial SSU rRNA". It matches the Rfam family "Bacterial small subunit ribosomal RNA", at positions 58 to 913 of the family's 1533-position model. RNAcentral also lists the same sequence under 1 other name. The record is from RNAcentral. Lineage: Bacteria; Bacillati; Actinomycetota; Actinomycetes; Kitasatosporales; Streptomycetaceae.
CAAGUCGACGAAGAACCUCCUUCGGGAGGGGAAGAGUGGCGAACGGGUGAGUAACACGUCGUUAAUCUGCCCUGCACUCUGGGAUAACUCCGGGAAACCGGAGCUAAUACCGGAUACGACCAUUGCGGGCAUCCGUGGUGGUGGAAAGCUCCGGCGGUGCAGGAUGAGCCCGCGGCCUAUCAGCUGGUUGGUGGGGUGAUGGCCUACCAAGGCGACGACGGGUAGCCGGCCUGAGAGGGCGACCGGCCACACUGGGACUGAGACACGGCCCAGACUCCUACGGGAGGCAGCAGUGGGGAAUAUUGCACAAUGGGCGCAAGCCUGAUGCAGCGACGCCGCGUGAGGGAUGACGGCCUUCGGGUUGUAAACCUCUUUCAGCAGGGAAGAAGCGCAAGUGACGGUACCUGCAGAAGAAGCACCGGCUAACUACGUGCCAGCAGCCGCGGUAAUACGUAGGGUGCGAGCGUUGUCCGGAAUUAUUGGGCGUAAAGAGCUCGUAGGCGGCUUGUCGCGUCGGAUGUGAAAGCCCGGGGCUUAACCCCGGGUCUGCAUUCGAUACGGGCAGGCUAGAGUUCGGUAGGGGAGAUCGGAAUUCCUGGUGUAGCGGUGAAAUGCGCAGAUAUCAGGAGGAACACCGGUGGCGAAGGCGGAUCUCUGGGCCGAUACUGACGCUGAGGAGCGAAAGCGUGGGGAGCGAACAGGAUUAGAUACCCUGGUAGUCCACGCCGUAAACGUUGGGCACUAGGUGUGGGCGGCAUUCCACGUCGUCCGUGCCGCAGCUAACGCAUUAAGUGCCCCGCCUGGGGAGUACGGCCGCAAGGCUAAAACUCAAAGGAAUUGA